UCUCCACCUGCUGCCAUGUUCUUUCAAUUCACGCAACUAAGAUUCCCAAAUUCUACCGUAAUUUCAUUUUCUUUUCAGAAUACAAAACUCCUUCGUACAUGAUGACGACUGUGUGUUAGGUCUGAGAGCUCCAAUCGAAAGCAUCAAACAUCCUAUAGAGAUCUUCAUACUAGCCUCCUUUAAUUGCUACGCCGAGGGGAAGAUCUCUCUUUGAAGUCGCACAAAUCAGGUUGGUGUUGUUGUUGGCAUUGACAUUGAUUCUAUUCCCCCUUCUUCUCCUAUCUCUCUCUUCCCACGUCACACAAAUCAGCAACAAUGUAUGGAGAAUCUGCCACCGCUAUUCACAAGGUUCAAGUUGAUCUCUUAGGCUUCAUAGAUUGGACUGGUGUUGAAGUUCUUAAUCAAAGCACCACUCACUCUCAUCCCAAUGCUAUAAAAAAUGUUCAAUUCUUUUUCUAUGAUUCAGUUCAAAAUCAAAAACCCUUAUUGUGUUAGCUAUGAUUUUAUCUUACUGUAAUUUUGAUUGAAGAAAAUUAGGGUUAUAGUGAAGAUGAAGGUAUGCAUCUAGAAAGUGAUGCAGAUGAGCUGCUCUUGCUUUAUAUUGCUUUCACCCAAGUCAUUAAUCAUCCUUAAUCAUCCUUGAUCUGAGGGGAAUUACUGGACAACUAGCUGUUGCAGUCCCGACGCAGGAAGGACAAGCGUUUCAUCGGAACUAUUUCAGAUAAUUCCUCUCAUUCUCAGUUUGAUAAAAAGUCCCUUCACAAAACAUGAAAGUGAAUUCGAAGCUCUGUAUAUGCCUUACCACAGAGAUCUUCCAAGGAUCCUUUUCUUUGUACUUGAUAUUUCAUAUUUCUUCUUAGCUUCACCUAUUUUACCGUUCCUCUUGGUCUAUCUCUGUCUCGCAUACAUCAUUUACCGAAACCAGGUCAGAUUUCUUUGUAUGCUUAUCUUGAAAAUUCAUUUUAUCGACGUGAAUAAUGUUUGUGAGACUCGAAAAAACUGGUUUUUUACAUGGCUUGCACUGAUGUGAUGAUUUUGUAUUACGCAGUUCAUAAAUAUAUAUGCAUCAAAGUACGAAACUGCUUAAAGAUUAUGGCCUAUCGUACAUGAUUCAAUGAUAUUUUCUCUAGUACACUUGUUUUCAUUGUUGUGUGAGAUGCACAUGUUAUGAAGUGACAUGACUUUGCAACCUCUUUUCUUAGUAAUGAUGGUGGAAUUUUUUAAUCCAUUGUCCUUAUCUGUUUUGCAUUUUGAUUUUGGUUGCUUAUUAUUUCCAAUGUUGUGUCAGGAUCCUACAUACUAUGUGCCUAAAGAAGAUGAAUCUCCAUGAAUGUUUGGUUCAAUCAAAAAGCAUAGAUGGUCUAUGCAAGUGCCAAGGAGUUAAUUUGAGAGGUUGGUUUAUGGUUCCUUUUGAUGGAUGGCAAAAGCAGCCAAGGUACUGGCUUUGGGUGUAAAGGAUCAUAUUUGUUGGGCUACUUCAGUAUAUACAUAAAAAUGGUCCCUGGGGAUUAAGUUGCCACAAUUAUCACCUUCUAUAUAUGAACCCACAUUAUUUUAUAUGAUUAUAUAGUUAUUUUGUUUAAGCCAGUUUUGUAAUGAGAUAAAUCAUUUAG
This is a long non-coding RNA of Vicia villosa (hairy vetch), 1613 nucleotides long. RefSeq lists it as uncharacterized. The transcript has 5 exons. The record is from RefSeq and is a predicted model, not a curated record. NCBI's taxonomy places the organism in Eukaryota, Viridiplantae, Streptophyta, Magnoliopsida, Fabales, Fabaceae.